This 83-nucleotide small RNA is filed under the name Marmota monax (woodchuck). Lineage: Eukaryota; Metazoa; Chordata; Mammalia; Rodentia; Sciuridae. The record is from RNAcentral.
GCUGGGUGCGGUAGCGCAUGCCUGUAAUCCCAGUGGCUCGGGAGGCUGAGGCAGGAGAAUCUCGAGUUCAAAGCCAGCCUCUG